RNAcentral lists this long non-coding RNA (216 nucleotides) under Lathyrus oleraceus (garden pea). Its description in RNAcentral is "Pisum sativum (pea) long non-coding RNA (PSAT_LNC039982)". The record is from RNAcentral. Lineage: Eukaryota; Viridiplantae; Streptophyta; Magnoliopsida; Fabales; Fabaceae.
UAUAGAAUGAAUCUGAAAUUUUUGCGCUAAAAUAAACAUGUUAAUUGAAAAUUAAGAACAUUCUUUUCAAAUGCAGGAAAACAUCAACAAAGAUGUGCUAUCAUUUCUCUAAUUUCUAGAUUACACAACUGUUUGUAAAUGAAGUUUGGCAACACUAAAUUUUUGUGCCAGGAUAAAAACACUCGAUGCUAUUUUCCUUGACCUUGAAGUGAAAAU